UAGAGAGAUUGGGGUGAACUUGUGUUCAUCUAGAAUUUCAAAACAAUUCUCUAUUUCAGCUCAAAAUUAAGGAAUCUUGAAUGCAUGAAUAGUGAUUUUGAAUGAUCUUCAUCAUCUAAUCACAAGGCAAUUUGGGUGAAGAAUCAAGUGGACAAGCUGGGACGGACGUGCGAUUGAAAGGAAAGCUUUAAGGUGUUUGCCAUUAUGUUUUGGGAUGAAGAUCAAGCAUGUCGAAGAACCAAACACAUCCGAUGAUCAAGCUUCCGCGUUGCUUAAUCUUUCUACUUAACUAAACAUUGUAAAUGAGUAGAAAUGUUUAUUUUGAAUA
This is a long non-coding RNA of Helianthus annuus (common sunflower), 328 nucleotides long. RefSeq lists it as uncharacterized. NCBI's taxonomy places the organism in Eukaryota, Viridiplantae, Streptophyta, Magnoliopsida, Asterales, Asteraceae. The transcript is spliced from 3 exons. The record is from RefSeq and is a predicted model, not a curated record.